Molecule: unclassified non-coding RNA, 358 nt
Filed under: Hevea brasiliensis (rubber tree)
Lineage: Eukaryota; Viridiplantae; Streptophyta; Magnoliopsida; Malpighiales; Euphorbiaceae
Source: RNAcentral
AUCAAAACAUCGUUCUACAUUAGUUUUCACUAUUCUUUGCCAAAAAUUAGCUAACAAUUUUUGGCACGCCUAGUGAGACAAUUCUAAUACAAUUUCAUUUUAAUAAUCCACACCACUAUUUUUGUAGGCAACACUACGCCUUCAAAAAUCAGAAGCAUUCUUGGCAAAGAAAUCGCCGAGUCUCAAGACAUUGAGGAAAGUCCCACUACAAAAGGGCUAAAUGUUCCAGUUUCUCUCAUGGUUGAACACCUUGAAAGGAAGUCAGACCCUCAAGAAAAAGAAAUUCAAAAUCCAGUUGCUACAGAAACUGUAUGUACCUUGUCUACUGACUGAGUACAGGGGCAAGAUGAGAUUUGCA